Molecule: ribosomal RNA, 117 nt
Filed under: Pteropus alecto (black flying fox)
Lineage: Eukaryota; Metazoa; Chordata; Mammalia; Chiroptera; Pteropodidae
Source: RNAcentral
GUCUAUGGCCAUGUCACCCUGAACAAGCCUGAUGUCUGAUCUCAUGAAGCUAAGCAGGGUCAGGCCUGGUUAGUACUUGGAUGGGAGACCACCUUGGAAUACCAGGUGCUGUAGGCG